Molecule: unclassified non-coding RNA, 501 nt
Filed under: Ceratocystis manginecans
Lineage: Eukaryota; Fungi; Ascomycota; Sordariomycetes; Microascales; Ceratocystidaceae
Description: partial contains ITS1, 5.8S rRNA and ITS2
Rfam family: 5.8S ribosomal RNA (bases 156-309)
Source: RNAcentral
CGUACCUAUCUUGUAGUGAGAUGAAUGCUGUUUUGGUGGUAGGGCCCUUCUGAAGAGAGGGCACCGCUGCCAGCAGUAUAGUCUCACCACUAUAAAACUCUUUUAUUAUUUUCUAGAUUUUUCAUUGCUGAGUGGCAUAACUAUAAAAAAGUUAAAACUUUCAACAACGGAUCUCUUGGCUCUAGCAUCGAUGAAGAACGCAGCGAAAUGCGAUAAGUAAUGUGAAUUGCAGAAUUCAGUGAAUCAUCGAAUCUUUGAACGCACAUUGCGCCUGGCAGUAUUCUGCCAGGCAUGCCUGUCCGAGCGUCAUUUCACCACUCAAGACUCUUUUGUUCUUGGCGUUGGAGGUCCUGUUCUCCCCUGAACAGGCCGCCGAAAUGUAUCGGCUGUUAUACUUGCCAACUCCCCUGUGUAGUAUAAAAUUUCUAAUUUUUCACACUUUGAAGUUCUUGUGUAACACGCCGCUAAACCCGCUCAACUUUUGUUGAACUUUUCACAAGG